UACAGCAGUGGCAACCGGUAGCCAGUGCUAGUGGGCACCAAAAAGAAAAAAGGUUCACAAGCAGAUUGCUCGCUUAGCAAUCGGUACUCUAUUUCUCUCUUUCCUAUUCUUAUACAUGUGCAUGUCAAGAUGAAUUUGCAGUGAUUUUUGGGCAUGUUUCAGUUGCAGCUGAAGUAAGAUUUUUUUUUUUUUUUUUUACCCUAUUGAUGAAACUGUGUGCAUUAUUCAGGGAUGUUAACUUAGGGAUUUUGCUCUGUUCACUGUGUAGUGCUUGUUAGGUGAGUUUUGCUUUGAGGUUGAUGUGGUAUUUAGUAGUUUCUUCUGCCAGAAUUUCCCAAUUCCUAAUUGCAUUGUCCAUAUGAUGCAAUAUAGCUUAGACGUUCUAAACAUCAUGUACUUAAGUUCUGUCUUGUAGUUUGUAAAUCUUUAAGAAAUGUGGAAGUGAUUAGGGUUUAGAGAGAGUGAGAGAACAGAAAUAUGGGGACUAAAAAAGUCUAGGUGCUGAUGUCCUCCAAACAAAGCUAUCGAGAUGUGCUUGUAUUGUAUUAUUAUGGGGGUUCCAAUUCGAUAUAUAUUUUUAUGGGUAAAAUAUUAUAUUUAUACAAAUAUAUGCUAAAUUUGAUAUUUAGCCUCCUUAUUUUCUGGGUUUAGCUCUCUGUCAUUGCAUAUAUGUAAAUUUUAGAAUUCCCGAAAAAAAGAUUAAGAAAAGGCUACGUAGGGACACUGUAAGAACAAAAUUUACAAAUAUGGCUAGCCUAGAUAAGGAUCAAGAAUGGGUUUAAAAGCUAGCAUGAGUUAUCAUACUUAAAUUAUUAUAAUCUGAAAUAAGCUGGUAUGGGUGCUUGGACUGUUUCCAUCUCGCCAGGAUGGGUGUUGAUGGCUACGUGAAAGGCAGGCUCAUUCCUUUGCUAUACCAAAACCAAAUAUAUGGGAUUUCUAAUUUUCUAUAUAUCAAAAUUGUAUGUCAGAUCUGAUUGUCUGAGAUGCAAAGGAUCUUAUGUAAGUUGGAAGAUAACAGUUAUCUUUAAGCUCUUACAAGCACCAGAUAAAUCCCUGUUUCUUAUCUCUAAUUCUGAAGUUGCAGAUUAAUUACCACUUACUGUUUUGAAUUGGGUGCUAAUUCAACUUCAGCUAAUGACGAGACCACCUCUUGAUUGCUUUGUGACCACAGAUGCGUUGCUCUGGAGUGCUCCAUGGGUGUAGCAGUAGAAAAUAACAAAGGUUUUGGUGGAAUUUGCAAGGGCUGAAGCCUACCUUCCAACAUCUCUAAGACACGUGUCAUUGAUGGUCUAUCUGAAGGACUGGUUUGGAUGCACCAC
This 1319-nucleotide long non-coding RNA is filed under the name Manihot esculenta (cassava). RNAcentral's name for it is "long non-coding RNA (MESC_LNC000817)". Lineage: Eukaryota; Viridiplantae; Streptophyta; Magnoliopsida; Malpighiales; Euphorbiaceae. The record is from RNAcentral.